GAGUUCUCAAAGAAAAGGGACCAUUUGCGAAAUAAGUCAUUCUAUGGACCUGUCUAGCAAGGUAGAUGCAUUGUCCCAUAAGAUUGACCAACUGAUGAUAGGAGAACAUGUCGCUAGCUCUUCCCAAGCACAAGUGUGUGCUAUCUAUUCUAGCCCAUCGCAUCCUAUUCAUGAGUGCCCCUCAGCACCCCAAUUUCCCGAACUCGUGCAAGAACACAUCAAUGCUGCUCAAACCCAGCCCAGACCGGGUAAUGACCCAUUUUCAAUACAUAUAACUCGGGAUGGCGGAAUCAUCCAAAUUUUUCUUGGAGGCAGCAAGCUUCUAAUACCUCCCAACCCUUC
RNAcentral lists this long non-coding RNA (342 nucleotides) under Phoenix dactylifera (date palm). Its description in RNAcentral is "long non-coding RNA (PDAC_LNC016380)". The record is from RNAcentral. Lineage: Eukaryota; Viridiplantae; Streptophyta; Magnoliopsida; Arecales; Arecaceae.